RNAcentral lists this long non-coding RNA (783 nucleotides) under Gossypium barbadense (sea-island cotton). Its description in RNAcentral is "long non-coding RNA (GBAR_LNC004737)". The record is from RNAcentral. Lineage: Eukaryota; Viridiplantae; Streptophyta; Magnoliopsida; Malvales; Malvaceae.
CUUGAGUGAUUUUUUUACAACUCGAAAAAUGUUAAAUAUAACAAAGAAAAAAAAACGGAAAAACGUUGGGCCCUAAAACAAGAGAUUCAUUUGUAAAAACAGGGGGAUUACAAAGUAAAGGCUGCAGAGAUAUCUCUAGCAUACAACCAAAUACCAAUUGUUGCAGAAUGGACAAAACAAACAAGGCAACAAAGAGAGAAAACCAGCAAUGAACAUCCAAAACUGAAGAAAUUAUACAGAACAAGCGAAAUUGCAUCAAAUUACCAGCAAGCAGAAAAAGGACAGUGUCGAUCAAUUCCUACUUUUGCCAUUGCAUCUGCCAAGCAAUUAAUUUCUCUGUACGCGAAAGUAAAUCUAACUUCCCCGAUCUCCAUGAUGAACCUAUCAAUAAAUUCACCAACAUCCCAAUACACCCACGGUUUAGAGCUUGGAUCAUUCACCCAUUGAACAGCAUUGGCAGAGUCGGAUUUGAUAAUCAAAUUAACUUUGUCAAACCAACCGGUUUUGGUGAAUACCUCCAAGGCUGUUUUGAUUGCUAAUAACUCGGCCAAAUUAGAGCAAAUAACCUGAAGCGGAUAAGAAACUGAUGCGACAAUAGAAUCCUUGUCAUUCCUGAGAACACCUCCACAUCCGCCAAGCUCGACUGCAAUUUUGACAGCUCCAUCGACAUCACAUUUUAAAGAGCCCGCGGGUGGGGGCACCAAGCUUAUUGUAAUUCAAGAUUUUGAUACCUCUGUUGGAAUACAAUUAAUGUGGGUAUUCCCACCAAAUAGCUUCCUAAAU